Molecule: non-coding RNA, 73 nt
Organism: Rhamnusium bicolor
Lineage: Eukaryota; Metazoa; Arthropoda; Insecta; Coleoptera; Cerambycidae
Source: the annotation of a GenBank genome assembly
GGCUUCGUGGUUGAGUGGUAAGAACACAGCUCUGAUCCAGCAGUCCCGGGUUCGAUCCCCAGUCGAGGAACUA